GAUGAAGAACGCAGCGAAAUGCGAUACUUGGUGUGAAUUGCAGAAUCCCGUGAACCAUCGAGUCUUUGAACGCAAGUUGCGCCCGAAGCCAUUAGGCCGAGGGCACGCCUGCCUGGGCGUCACACGUCGUUGCCCCCCCAUCUACUCCUUCGGGAUUGCGGGGGGCGGAUGAUGGCCUCCCGUGCGCCUCGCCGCGCGGUUGGCAUAAAUGCCAAGUCCUCGGCGACGCACGCCACGACAAUCGGUGGUUGCGAAACCUCGGUUGCCCGUCGUGUGCGGUCGUCGCGCAUCGAGGGCUCGAAAAAAGUGCCGGGUUCCGGCUCGGCUUUCAACGCGACCCCAGGUCAGGCGGGGUUACCCGCUGAAUUUAAGCAUAUCAAUAAGCGGAGGA
Molecule: unclassified non-coding RNA, 391 nt
Filed under: soil metagenome
Description: partial contains 5.8S ribosomal RNA, internal transcribed spacer 2, and large subunit ribosomal RNA
Rfam family: 5.8S ribosomal RNA (bases 1-122)
Source: RNAcentral